AGUGAAGCGGGAUGAGCUCAAAUUUAAAAUCUGGCUGGUUUACUAGUCCGAAUUGUAGUUUAAAGAAGCGUUUUCGGUGGCAGCCUGGGUAUAAAUCCUUUGGAACAGGGUAUCAUAGAGGGUGAGAAUCCCGUCUUUGACUCAGUGCAUGCUACUAUGUGAUACGUUUUCAAAGAGUCGAGUUGUUUGGGAAUGCAGCUCAAAAUGGGUGGUAAAUUUCAUCUAAAGCUAAAUAUUGGCGAGAGACCGAUAGCGAACAAGUACCGUGAGGGAAAGAUGAAAAGAACUUUGAAAAGAGAGUUAAACAGUGCGUGAAAUUGUUGAAAGGGAAACGCUUGACACCAGUCAUGCGAGCGGAAAAUCAGUCUUUUGCAGUGGGGAGUGUGUGUGGGUUCGGACCGCAAGGCCGGCCUGCGCUUCAUCUCUGCUGUAAGUGAUGCACUUUUUCGUUUGCAGGCCAACAUCAGUUUCUUCUGCUGGACAAAACUCUUGAGAAGGUAGCAGCUUAGGCUGUGUUAUAGCUCUUGAGCGAUACAGUGGAGGAGACUGAGGUUUUCGCAGCGCGUGCUUUCGGGCAAGGCUGAUUGGGUGCUAUGGGAUCGUUCGGUGUACAAUGCAUGCAUUUUGCGCCGUGUCUUUUCUAUACUCGCUCAACUCGGCUCUCCGCGCUUAGGAUGUUGGCUUAAUGGUUUUAAUCGACCCGUCUUGA
This 709-nucleotide ribosomal RNA is filed under the name Mortierella sp. FSU 10555. RNAcentral's name for it is "eukaryotic LSU rRNA". It matches the Rfam family "Eukaryotic large subunit ribosomal RNA", at positions 92 to 657 of the family's 3401-position model. Lineage: Eukaryota; Fungi; Mortierellomycota; Mortierellomycetes; Mortierellales; Mortierellaceae. The record is from RNAcentral.